Molecule: ribosomal RNA, 420 nt
Filed under: Fusobacteriota bacterium
Lineage: Bacteria; Fusobacteriati; Fusobacteriota
Description: Fusobacteria bacterium partial 16S ribosomal RNA
Rfam family: Bacterial small subunit ribosomal RNA
Source: RNAcentral
UGGGGGAUAUUGCACAAUGGGCGAAAGCCUGAUGCAGCGACGCCGCGUGGGGGAUGAAGGCCUUCGGGUUGUAAACUUCUUUUGCUCUGAACAAGGCAUGCCUUUGGGGUGUGUUGAGUGUAGGGGUUGAUUAGCGCCGGCUAACUACGUGCCAGCAGCCGCGGUAAUACGUAGGGCGCGAGCGUUGUCCGGAAUUAUUGGGCGUAAAGGGCUUGUAGGUGGCUGGUUGCGUCUGUCGUGAAAGCUCAUGGCUUAACUGUGGGUUUGCGGUGGGUACGGGCUGGCUUGAGUGCAGUAGGGGAGGCUGGAAUUCCUGGUGUAGCGGUGGAAUGCGCAGAUAUCAGGAGGAAGACCGGUGGCGAAGGCGGGUCUCUGGGCUGUUACUGACGCUGAGGAGCGAAAGCGUGGGGAGCGAACAGG